This is a long non-coding RNA of Triticum dicoccoides, 574 nucleotides long. RefSeq lists it as uncharacterized. The record is from RefSeq and is a predicted model, not a curated record. NCBI's taxonomy places the organism in Eukaryota, Viridiplantae, Streptophyta, Magnoliopsida, Poales, Poaceae. The transcript is spliced from 4 exons.
GACAUUGUCUACUGAAGCCCCACCGGUGACGCGACGGGAGAGCUCCAACCUGUACGUGGGUGUGGGGACGCAGAUCCGCGUCGCCAGCCUACACAAGGCAAUGGUCAACGCGCCGACGCAGGGUUCAUCAUCUGUCUUCGUCAGGUGACUUUCCAUGCGAUUUUUACUUCUAAAAAUUAGAAAAUACCUUCAGAUCAAAGCAGGGGAUUUGUAGAUUUCUGGGUAUUGUUGCUACUCCAUCUCCAUCCAGCUUACGGUCUUUGGUCACUGAUUCUGAGGGGACGGCCAGGAUUACAAUGAGGGCGAGACGUUGAAGCUGGCGUCGGCAACUGUGACCACAACUGUGACAUUAACAUCGACCAUGGGAGCGAGGCGUCAGCCCUUGACAUAGACCGUGUUGGCCCCUUGUGUUUCUGUCCAGCCGUGCUCCGGUUCCGGCAGCUCCCAUUCCAGCCUAUCCCUUCUAGGAGCCUUCAGAUCGCUAAUGAUACUAAGAUUGCAUGAGUCCAUGAAGCAAGCAAUAAUCUAUCUCAAAAAAUUGUGUCCAAGCAUAUAACGGUUCAUCAAUUUUUGA